UUUCAACAAUAACACAUCCAAGUGACCAAAUAUCCAUAGCACCAACCCUUUCGGACGGAUUACCAAGAAUUAAUUCUGGCGCCAUAUACGUAGGUGUUCCUGUCAAGGAGUAACCGCGAUUUUGGUCUAGAUGCUGCAAAAAUUCCGAGUCUUUUUCAAACUCUUCCUCUUCUUGUUGUGUUAACUGUUCAAAAAUUUUAGUUGAAGCAGAACCCGACAUCUUGGCAGAACCAAAAUCUGUAAAUUUCAUGAUCCCGUUGUGAUCAAAAAGGAUAUUCUCAGGCUUUACAUCUUGAUGUGAAACACCACAGGAGUGUAUGUAAGCCAAUCCUUCUAAUAAUUGUAGGACAUAAACUUGAAUUACCAAUUCGUCCUCAAUUCUACCGUAACGUAGAAAUUCGAAAAGCGAAGAGCCUUGACAAAGUUCCAUAAAUAUAUUAACUUUUUCACGAUGCACUUCGAUACCAUAAUACGAUACGACAUUAGGAUGAUCAAAGAGUUCAAGUACUAACAUUUCACCUUUAAUCCUCUUGAUCAUCGGUCUAGAUAUACGAGGUUUAUGCAAUGCCACUUCUUUAACAGCCAUUAAAUCUCCUGUAUCCAAGUUAACAGCACGAUAAACCGUACCGAAAGAACCGCUACCUAUAAGUCCACCCUGUUGCCAUCGAAUCGUGAUAUUAGAUUUCGAAGAGGCUAGCUCUUUCAAUAGCCUGUUCUCCUUUGUCGUAUCAUCCAAAACACGUCCAAUGAGCUGGGACUUAUAAAGUCGGUCCCUUCUAUUACUUUCUAGUUCAAUUAUCCGAUGCAUAACCUCCUCCUUGACAAAGGAAGCCAACUCAUUAUCCGAUAAACGACUUCGGUCGGAAUUAUUUCGAACAAGGCGAGCUGGUAUAUCUC
Non-coding RNA from Schizosaccharomyces pombe (fission yeast), 897 nucleotides. The record is from the annotation of a GenBank genome assembly. Lineage: Eukaryota; Fungi; Ascomycota; Schizosaccharomycetes; Schizosaccharomycetales; Schizosaccharomycetaceae.